UUACCCCUAGCCUAACGUUUCAUCCUAAAAAGUCCUCUUGACCCUUUUGAGUUGAGUCAUUGUCGGUGGAGGGAGGAUUUGGUCAAGUUUAGGGAAUGGAUUGUCAUGCUAAGAUGUCGGGUAGCCUAAUCUUGUUUUCCGGCGCCUUCGCGGUGUCUCGAGACGCUAUUCUCAAAGGUGGAUAGGAUCUAGAGAUUUGACGUGGUAUGCUCGGUUGUAGGGGAAUUGAUAAUUGCUUACCCUUAGUUCACUUUGCUUGGCAUUUGAAUCCUUCACUCUAUUUAGGACAUUGCUUAGCGUGCUUGCGUUUAUUUGAUUAGUAAUAUUAGCAUUCUCUCAUACUUGUUCCAUAAUAAAUGCCCUUGUCUUGAGUUUUGUAGUUUCAUUUUUCAUUUUUCUUUCUUUUCUUCUUUCUUUUCCUUGCUUUCCUUUCUUUUCUUUUCUUUUCUUUCUUUUUCUUGGUUUGUUUUCCAUUUUAGUUCUUGCCUUGAUUCAAAUUUUUGGAAGAGUUAUGGGUGUUUCUCUUUGGAAACCCUUGCAAGAUCCCACUCGCCCUCAUGAGCGAUUGUGGGGUUCAAAGAGCUUGUUGCAUGCGCUUAAAUGCAACCGUGAUUCCUACGAAAGUGAGUUAGUGUGCAUUCUUGUAGUUCUUAUUUUCGUAAUUCUGAUUUUUAAUAAAUAAGCUCAUUCUCCACCCCGUUUCUCAUUCUAGCUUUGCUUGAGGACAAGCAAAGGGUUAGCUUGGGGGAGUUUGAUGAGCGGCAUUUAUGUCGCUCUUAGCUUAGGAUUUUAGUUCAUUGUAUUAGCAUUUUAUUAUUAUUUUUGCUUAGUUUUAUCGUUUUUAGUUCGUUUAUUGCAUUUUUGCAUUUAUCGUAACAUUUUCUCGUCUUGCGUAUAUUUUAGUCGUUUUUGCUCUAAAUAUGCCUUUUGCGCGCAUUCUCAUUGCGUAAGAGUCAUUUUGAGUAUUAACGUGUUAAUAAUGUGUCAUUAUGCUUGUCGACGAGUUAUAUGCUUUACGAUUUGUAAAAAUGUUAAACGAAUUAAUAUUUUUGAUUUUCGAUUACUAAUAAAAUGUGUUGCGAUUUUCUAACAUGCUAUACGUAGUUUCUAAUGUGCAGCGACGAGCUCCUUUGCACUGCCUUUAGGGCAGCCUUGUAGCUCAAUCUUAACAGCAGCAACAAGCAGAAUAGCAGCCACAGUAGCAGUGCACUCACAUCAAUAGCUCGAGCAGAAUAGCAGCAGCAAUAGCUUAGUAUGGCACACGAACCAAUCUGCCACUGCAGCAGCUUUGUGCUCACCUUGAGUGCCUUGAUUCAAGCUCUGUAGCAGCUACACAUUACAUCACCAACCUGAGCAGAACAUGUAGCAGAUUAGCAUGUACACACAGCCACAGCAGAAGCAAAGCAGUCGCAGCAACAACACAGCAGCUAUGCACGCUUCUCUCCCCUUGGUUGUUGAUUGUUUAAUCCUUGUUGUUGCUCACCAAAUUCCUCGAGCUUUUAAAUGCCUUUACAGCAGAAACUAAGGAGGGUUAUUAAGACAAGAACAACAUCUACAACAUCACAGAACAUUGCAGAAUAUCACAGCAGAACAAACACGCAAAACAACAAACUGAUCUGUGCGAUCGAAUGGGUCAGGCUGUGCGAUCGAGCUGCUUCUGUGCGAGCAGCCCGUAGUUCUAGUGCGAGCACACGAUUUGCAAAAAAUGGAUCAGGAACUCAGCCAUUUCUUCGUGUGUUCGCACACACCCAGAUGUGCGUUCGCACAGGUAGCACGCAGCAGGCACACAGUCAGCAGUAUAAAAGGAAACACGCAGUCAGCGCACAAGAGUGUAGAAAAAUAAGCAGCGAGCAUUAGAGUAGCGUAGCAAGGCAGCAGCGAAGAUUAGCGUAGCUUAGAUUAGAGUAUUGUUAGAUUAUAUUUUAGGUUUCAAUUUCACAAAAAUCAAACACUAGAUUUCAGUUUAGUUCAUCAAAUUCGUAGCUAUUGUUCUUCAAAUUCAGAAUUUGUUCUUCAAGGUUUUUCCCCCAAUUUUGGAGUUGAUUUCUAGCUUUGAGUCGUGAUUUGCACAGUGGCCCCCGUACUUAGGUAUUCCAGUUUUCAAUAAGCAGGUUCGUAGAGAUAACUGGCGGGAGAAGUUAUCAUGGGAAUAGUGUUAAGAGACUGUUUCAUCUUCCGUAUUUAUAAACUCUAUUUUCAUUUCUAGUCAUGACUACUAUUAUUAAUUAAACUAUAGUUAAUGAGUUUUAAACUAUUUAAUGCUUUGGUUUUGGGCCUUAAUGGUUCCAGUUUAUGAGAUGAUCAUUAACUAUUUAUUAUGUUUUGAAAGUUAGUUAUUUCCGCUGCGUGAUUCUGGUAAAUAGCCUUAGCCGUUAUCACGGUGGCGGUAAUAUCUUGGUAAUUCUUUUAUACUAGUCGGAAAAAGGGAAUUAUAAAUAUAAGGAAUUAUCAGGGUGUUACACAGUGUGCAUGGGCCAUUGCUGCUGCGCCUAGCACGCGGGCCAGCAGUGCUGCGCCUGCUGCCUUGGGCCAGCGCGCGUGGCUGCGUCCAAAGCAAGCUGGUCAGCUUGUUUGCUAUGCAAGCAAAGCAGCCGAACAACCCUAGGGGUUUUAGGGUUUUGGUUUUUGGUAUAUUCCUAAAACUUUCCUAAAACGUUCUAGGGUUUUGGCUCCUAGGGUUUUCCUAUUUCCUAUAAAUACAUGGCCUAUAUAUGGUCAUGAAUAAAACGAAUCAAUUGAGUCACAAUUCAAUACUAUUUUCCUAUCACUUAAAGUGAGAUCCCGAAACCAUAAACCUUAUAUUAUAUCCUUGUUGGUACGAUUUAAGGCGGAUCCGAACGUGUUGUGGACUUUCUACGGAGGGACGACGUUUGGCGUUCUAACUUGUUCUUGUUCGGUUCGGGAACAGCUAGGGAAGGCAUGCAUCACAAAGUGUGUUCACUAAAUUACGCUAAAUGAUUAUGUGCAUUUAACUUGGAUUCUGGCAUGGUUUUUCCGCAUGACAUUGGAUUGUUCAUAAUCUAACAGUGGUAUCACGAUCCUCUAAUUAAUUUCAUAAUCUUUUAAAUUAAUAUGGAUUAAUAUUAUAAAUUUGCAAAGAAUUAAAGGGGUGAAUUAAUUUGGUAUAAUUAAUUGAAAAUUCAUGCGAUUAAUAAUUAAUAUGUUCGCAGGAUUUUCGAUAGUUUUGUCAAUAA
Molecule: long non-coding RNA, 3194 nt
Organism: Spinacia oleracea (spinach)
Lineage: Eukaryota; Viridiplantae; Streptophyta; Magnoliopsida; Caryophyllales; Amaranthaceae
Exons: 3
Source: RefSeq, a predicted model, not a curated record